Molecule: ribosomal RNA, 331 nt
Filed under: uncultured eukaryote
Lineage: Eukaryota
Description: partial 18S ribosomal RNA
Rfam family: Eukaryotic small subunit ribosomal RNA
Source: RNAcentral
CCCUUAGAUGUUCUGGGCCGCACGCGCGCUACACUGACGAAUUCAACGAGUUUAUAACCUUUGCUGGGAGGCAUGGGUAAUCUUGUGAACGUUCGUCGUGAUGGGGAUAGAUUAUUGCAAUUGUUAAUCUUCAACGAGGAAUUCCUAGUAAACGCAAGUCAUCAGCUUGCAUUGAUUACGUCCCUGUCCUUUGUACACACCGCCCGUCGCACCUACCGAUUGAAUGGUCCGGUGAAUUCUUCGGACUGCGGCUUUGACUCGAUUUCGGUCGAGGCGUUGCUGCGGGAAGUUGAUUAAACCUUACCAUUUAGAGGAAGGUGAAGUCGUAACA